GGUAAAAUGGCCGAGUGUUUAGGCGGUGAGCUGUAGUCUCACAAAGAGAGGUUUGAUUCCUUUUUUUACCA
Molecule: transfer RNA, 71 nt
Filed under: Echidna rhodochilus
Lineage: Eukaryota; Metazoa; Chordata; Actinopteri; Anguilliformes; Muraenidae
Description: tRNA-Tyr
Rfam family: tRNA
About the family: Transfer RNA (tRNA) molecules are approximately 80 nucleotides in length.
Source: RNAcentral